This 1079-nucleotide ribosomal RNA is filed under the name Serratia marcescens. Its description in RNAcentral is "partial 23S ribosomal RNA". It matches the Rfam family "Bacterial large subunit ribosomal RNA", at positions 380 to 1462 of the family's 2925-position model. Lineage: Bacteria; Pseudomonadati; Pseudomonadota; Gammaproteobacteria; Enterobacterales; Yersiniaceae. The record is from RNAcentral.
CUAAAAUGCACAGGUCGUGAGUUCGAUGAGUAGGGCGGGACACGUGACAUCCUGUCUGAAUAUGGGGGGACCAUCCUCCAAGGCUAAAUACUCCUGACUGACCGAUAGUGAACCAGUACCGUGAGGGAAAGGCGAAAAGAACCCCGGCGAGGGGAGUGAAAUAGAACCUGAAACCGUGUACGUACAAGCAGUGGGAGCACCUUCGUGGUGUGACUGCGUACCUUUUGUAUAAUGGGUCAGCGACUUAUAUUUUGUAGCAAGGUUAACCGUAUAGGGGAGCCGUAGGGAAACCGAGUCUUAACUGGGCGAAUAGUUGCAAGGUAUAGACCCGAAACCCGGUGAUCUAGCCAUGGGCAGGUUGAAGGUUGGGUAACACUAACUGGAGGACCGAACCGACUAAUGUUGAAAAAUUAGCGGAUGACUUGUGGCUGGGGGUGAAAGGCCAAUCAAACCGGGAGAUAGCUGGUUCUCCCCGAAAGCUAUUUAGGUAGCGCCUCGUGAACUCAUCUUCGGGGGUAGAGCACUGUUUCGGCUAGGGGGCCAUCCCGGCUUACCAAACCGAUGCAAACUCCGAAUACCGAAGAAUGUUAUCACGGGAGACACACGGCGGGUGCUAACGUCCGUCGUGAAGAGGGAAACAACCCAGACCGCCAGCUAAGGUCCCAAAGUCAUGGUUAAGUGGGAAACGAUGUGGGAAGGCACAGACAGCCAGGAUGUUGGCUUAGAAGCAGCCAUCAUUUAAAGAAAGCGUAAUAGCUCACUGGUCGAGUCGGCCUGCGCGGAAGAUGUAACGGGGCUAAACCAUGCACCGAAGCUGCGGCAGCGACGCUUAGGCGUUGUUGGGUAGGGGAGCGUUCUGUAAGCCGUUGAAGGUGGCCUGUGAGGGUUGCUGGAGGUAUCAGAAGUGCGAAUGCUGACAUAAGUAACGAUAAAGCGGGUGAAAAGCCCGCUCGCCGGAAGACCAAGGGUUCCUGUCCAACGUUAAUCGGGGCAGGGUGAGUCGACCCCUAAGGCGAGGCUGAAAAGCGUAGUCGAUGGGAAACAGGUUAAUAUUCCUGUACUUGGUGUUACUGCGAAGG